UAGGUCUUAUGUUUAAGUCUUUAAUCCAUGUGGAGUUAAUUUUAGUGUAAGGUAUCAGGAAGGGGUACAGUUUCUGCUUUCUGCACAUGGCUAGCCAGAUAACUAUAUUUUCUAAAUGGAAAUACAGUACUACUAUAACAAUGCUAUAAAUGCAAUGGUAUCUUUUGUUUCCAAAGUUAAUACACCAGAGUGAUGCAAAAAUAAUGGUAAGAGCGAGAUCAUUUUGUGGCAAAGUUAUCUCUGGGUAAACUCUGCAGCCGCAAACGCUGCCAGUGAAUAUUCAUGGCAAACAGGGAAAAGGUUAUCAAUAUCAGGAAUGAGAGGAGGAUAACUACAGCUCUUUAUGCAAGACAAAGAGUGCAAGGAAAUAUUAUGAAUAACAUGUCAAAUAAUUUGAUAACUUAGAUGAACGAAGUCCUUAUAUAACACAAAUUAGCAAAACUGUCCGAAGAAAUAGAAAACCUAAACAUCUCUACAUCAUCUUUAAAAAUGAAUUCAUAAUUAAAAAUAAAUGUUUCUACAAACAAAAGUCCUAGCACAGAUAGUCUCACUAGUGUGUCACACAUUCAAGAGAGAAGUAAUAUCAAUCUACGCAAACUCUUUCAGAAAAGAGAAGAGGUGGGAAGACUUGUGAGCCCCUUUUAUAAGGCUUAUAUUAUUGUCCUGAUAAAGCUAGAAAAAAUUCAAAAACCACAAGAAAACUAUAGACCAAUAACUCUCACAAACAUAGAUGUGACGAUCUUUAACAAAAUAUUAACAAAAUUCAGCAAUAUACAAAAAUGAUGUUAUGACUGAGUGAUGGAUUUAUUCCAUUAACUCAAGGUUGAUUUAACAUGAGAAAUCCGUUAAUUUAACUCACCAUAUUAAUAAAGGAGAAAACAGUAUCACCUCAAUAAAGUUAUCUGUCAAGGUUUGACACUUAGUCAAAUCUCCCAGCAAAGGAAGAAUACAAGGAAAUGUCUCAGUGUGAGAAAGGUUAUUAAUAAUCACUUAUAGCUAAUAUCACAGUAAUGCCGUAGGACCAAAUGCUUCCUCCUAAAGUUGAGAACAAGGCAAAGAUAACUGCUCUUCUCAUUCCUAUUCAUUAUGAAGUUCUAGUCAGUGCAGGAAAGCAAGAAAAGGCAGGCAAAACAGAAGUAAACUUUAUGUGUAGACUUUAAGAUCAUGUACAUAAAAAAUCCUAAUGGAACUGCAAAAAAUGGUAGAACUAGUGGGUGAAUUUAACAAUGUCUAGAUAUGAAAAUCAACUGUAUUCCAUAAACUAGCAGGAAAAUAACUGAAAAUUAAGAACAAUAUAUUUGUAAUAAGGAAAUGGUAACAGCCAAAUUAACAAAAUAGGAAGAAUAAUUAGAAUGACAAGGCUUUUCAACAACAAAAUCAAGACUAAGAAAAUUAGUAACACUAACCUAUACCUCAGAAGUGAAGGCAAAAUUGAAUUCAUUUUAAGGAAAACACAGAAUUUGACCAUUAUCAAAAUGACAUAAAAAGCAGAUAGUUCAUUUGUGUUGAUAUAAAGGAAUACCUGAAGCUAGAUAAUUUAUAAAGAAAAAAUGUAUAUUUGGCUUACAAUUCUGGUGGCUGGAAGAUUGGGCAUGAGGUGAAAGCCUCAGACUGCUUCCACUCAUGGUGGAAGGCAAAGGGGAGCUGGCAUGUGCAGACGUCACACGGCAAGAAAGGAAGCAAGGGAGAAAUGGCACCAGGCUCUUUGCUGCCUUGGGAACUAAUAGAGUGAGAGCUGACUCAUCCCAUCCUCCCAGUGAGGGCAUUAAUUCAUUCAUGAGGGACCUGUUCCCAUGACCCAAACACCUGCCAUUAGACCCCCCAGCAACACUGGGGAUCAGACUUCAACAUGAGAUUUGGAGAAACCAAAUUGUAGCAGAUAGAAAGCCAAAAACAAUUCAAUGAAAGUAAAAUUACAGCAGUUUCCACAAUACAUGUACGUUUAUAAUUCCCAAGGAAGAAAA
Long non-coding RNA from Sapajus apella (tufted capuchin), 1964 nucleotides. RefSeq lists it as uncharacterized. The record is from RefSeq and is a predicted model, not a curated record. The transcript has 2 exons. Lineage: Eukaryota; Metazoa; Chordata; Mammalia; Primates; Cebidae.